RNAcentral lists this transfer RNA (71 nucleotides) under Microcaldota archaeon. Its description in RNAcentral is "Candidatus Micrarchaeota archaeon tRNA-His". It matches the Rfam family "tRNA". Rfam says of the family: Transfer RNA (tRNA) molecules are approximately 80 nucleotides in length. Their secondary structure includes four short double-helical elements and three loops (D, anti-codon, and T loops). The record is from RNAcentral. Lineage: Archaea; Nanobdellati; Microcaldota.
GCCACGGUGGUGUAAUGGUAGCACAGGGGGUUGUGGACCCCUUAGCCCGAGUUCGAUUCUCGGCUGUGGCC